GGCCUGACCUGUGCCAAAUGGCAAGCUGCUUGUCACCUGAACAAAGGGAGAAAAGGAAGAGGGAUGGAGAUGAUGAUGCCAUGGAUGUAAGCUCUUGUCAUGUUUGUUACAAUAAUGCAUUCUCUUAACAAUUUCAGUGUCCAGUAACCAGCAUUGGCAUCUGAUGCAUUGCUUGCUACAGGUCUCAGAAAAUGGAAAUGGCGAGAGUUCUUCAUGCAGCAAGAAACCAAUAAGAACUGAACUUAGUUUUCUACCAUAUAGCUUUGUCAUUUCCCCAUAUGAAAUGGUCCCAUAAUCUAGUGCGUAUCUGUUUCUGGUUUGAAGUUCAUCUAGCAUUUGACGUGAUAUGUUGUCAUGAUUUAGUAUACAUACAUGGUGUGCCUUACCCUGUGUCAGCAUUAUGGGAGCUAAAAUUAAGUCUGCAUCAACCUCCCAAAUGUCAUGUUCUUCAUUUGCACACAAACUACAGUAUAUGCAUUGCACAUUCC
RNAcentral lists this long non-coding RNA (488 nucleotides) under Triticum aestivum (bread wheat). RNAcentral's name for it is "long non-coding RNA (TAES_LNC016877)". The record is from RNAcentral. Lineage: Eukaryota; Viridiplantae; Streptophyta; Magnoliopsida; Poales; Poaceae.